This is a long non-coding RNA of Cervus elaphus (red deer), 1385 nucleotides long. RefSeq lists it as uncharacterized. The record is from RefSeq and is a predicted model, not a curated record. The transcript is spliced from 2 exons. Lineage: Eukaryota; Metazoa; Chordata; Mammalia; Artiodactyla; Cervidae.
GCCCCCGGCAUCCAUUCCUGCAGCAGUCAGGACAGACUUCUUGUGGUGCAUAACAAGCACGCCCCAAGCUCAGUGCCUUAGAGCCUCGUCUCUGAGGCUGGGGCCCAGGGCUUAGUUCUGGUUGCUGCUGUCUGGCCUCACAGUGUGGCAUUAUCAUUUCAUCUUCAGCGCCUCUUCCUGAGAAGGGGACUCUGUCCCUGGUCUGAGGUGGGUCAUGAGUGAAGAAGAGGGAAGCAGGGCUCAUGGUCUCCUGCCUGAGUCUGGCGCCAUGGCAGCCAGCGAGGUUCAAGGGGAAGGGGGGCUGGCCCACCUCUCGUGCUGGAGGAGCUGCAGGGUCAUGCUCCAGAGAGCAGGACGCAGGAAGGCCCGGGAGGAGAGGCGCAGUUCUCCCGCCCCAGGGCUCUUUACACCUCUGUGCAGAUGGCUGGCCCUUAACCUCUCCCUGCCUUGGGUUUUGCAGCUGAGCCCGGAGCCCAGACAGGGAUGGUGCAUCUCCCUGCCCCAGGGUCACGGUGACUCAGUUUUGAGUCUCUUGUCGGGACUUUCCAGGCUCUCCCUCCCCUCCCACUGCUCUGUGCUUGUUACAACACAGAAGGGGCCUGCAUUUGGGAGGUGCUGGGUGGAUUCUCCCUCUCGAGUCACCUGUGGGUGGUGGGUGUGGCUGGGUGGCUCUGCGGCCUGGUCCCAGCCUGUCUCUGCUCUGCUCUGUCACCGUUGGCCGAGGGCCUGCAGGGAUGCUCGCCACAGGGACCUGUCUGUGCUCGCGACACAGCCAGGUGAGGUCGGAGAGGACACAGCUGACCACAGGAGCGGGCAUGGGGAGCACGGGUGCUGAUGGAAUCUUCCUGAAUCUUCCUGAGCUUGACCCCUGCUCUCUGUUAUGCGGCCUUGGACUCUGGGAUCCUCGAGGCAGGGCUGGCAAAGAAAAGAAAAAGGAAACCAGGAGCCCAGGAAGCCAGCUGCGAGGAGGAGGUGGGAGCAGUCUGUUCCAUCUUGGCAACACCAAGCUCAACCUGGUUUCCAAGGACGCUGAACAGCCCAGGAGAGGAUGCGGGUCCCGAGCGGCAACCUUCGAAAGCUGAGCACGUGUUGUCCAAGGGCACAGACUUGCUCCAAGUAUGUAAAUGAGGCCCGGAGAUCUAACCCACAGCACCAUGAUUAUAGUCAACAGGACUGCAUUAUGAACUUUAAAGUUGCUGAGAGAUUGGAUCUCAAUUGUUCUCACCAUACACGAAAAAUAAUAACUAUGUGAGGAGACAGAGGUGUUAGCCAAUACAUCAUGUUGCUACAUUGAGACAUAUCAAAUCAAUACAUUGUAUACCUUAAACUUAUACAAUAUUAUAUGAUGAUUAUAAAUUAAUUUUAAAUAAAGAAAACAGAGUGCA